Molecule: long non-coding RNA, 468 nt
Organism: Brassica oleracea var. oleracea
Lineage: Eukaryota; Viridiplantae; Streptophyta; Magnoliopsida; Brassicales; Brassicaceae
Exons: 2
Source: RefSeq, a predicted model, not a curated record
AACACACCAAACAAAACGUUAAAGUGAAUAUUUUACAACAAAGUUUUAAAUUUACUUAUAAAAUGGUCAUCACUAUGAAAACUUUAGUUCUGUUUGUUUUCACUACUUUUUUCAUCAUAUCUUUUGUUGAUUGUCAUACUACAACUAUGGCUACUACCCCUGCUAGUACUCCUGGUUAUGGAAUAAAUUGGGCGACUGUACUGUGCUUCAAGAUCUCAACGCCGUGUGAUUUAGCAGGGCGAUAUGGAUGCGCAAAGUUUUGUGACCAGUGGGAUUAUUUUUUUGACAGGUGUGAACCGGGUAAAUGUUGUUGUCACAGAUAAGUAGUAUGCGUUCAGAAUAAAAUAAUCUUAUAAAUGUAUUGGCAUUUGUUUGAAAGUAACAUCAACAACUUUCAUGCUUUAUUAUCAAUAUAUGAUCAAGAAAUGAAAUAAAUAAAAAUUAUUAGAUUGAAAUAGUUUGAUUCAA